This 495-nucleotide ribosomal RNA is filed under the name uncultured bacterium. Its description in RNAcentral is "partial 16S ribosomal RNA". It matches the Rfam family "Bacterial small subunit ribosomal RNA", at positions 28 to 507 of the family's 1533-position model. The record is from RNAcentral.
GAUGAACGCUGGCGGCGUGCCUAAUACAUGCAAGUAGAACGCUGAAGGAGGAGCUUGCUCUUCUGGAUGAGUUGCGAACGAGUGAGUAACGCGUAGGUAACCUGCCUGGUAGCGGGGGAUAACUAUUGGAAACGAUAGCUAAUACCGCAUGACAACAGUUAUUGCAUGAUAACUGUUUAAAAGGGGCAACUGCUCCACUACCAGAUGGACCUGCGUUGUAUUAGCUAGUUGGUGAGGUAACGGCUCACCAAGGCGACGAUACAUAGCCGACCUGAGAGGGUGAUCGGCCACACUGGGACUGAGACACGGCCCAGACUCCUACGGGAGGCAGCAGUAGGGAAUCUUCGGCAAUAGACGGAAGUCUGACCGAGCAACGCCGCGGGAGUGAAGAAGGUUUUCGGAUCGUAAAGCUCUGUUGUAAGAGAAGAACGAGUGUGAGAGUGGAAAGUUCACACUGUGACGGUAUCUUACCAGAAAGGGACGGCUAACUACGUG